Long non-coding RNA from Gallus gallus (chicken), 5321 nucleotides. NCBI's taxonomy places the organism in Eukaryota, Metazoa, Chordata, Aves, Galliformes, Phasianidae. The record is from Ensembl.
CCACCCCUUGCCAGACCUCACUUAAGGGCUGGCAGUGGAGGCAAGGCUGUUUUGCUGGAGAUCUUUGUCUACCUGUGGCCUCCCAAGGGUUGAACAACCCCAACUCUACUUUCAGAAGUCAAAGAGGAUCUCAACAACACAGCUGGGGCUUGGACAAAAUUCUCUAGCAGCAGUCUGCAAAUUACAGUGAUUCCUUGAAGAGACAGAAAACAGAACAAAGCAACUUAACCUGGGAGGAGGAGUUCAAAUCUGUUUGGCUUGGACAAGUUUGAGAACCUAUUGUAGGGAACCUGCUUUAACAGUGAGAUUGGACUUAAUAAUCUUCAGAGGUCCCUUCCAACCCCUGGGAGAAGAACUUGAGAGCAGACCUGCAGAGAAGGACUAAGGGGUUCUGGGCAAGCUCCUCAAGGAUUCUGUGCUCACAGGAUGAUUUGAACAAUGGAUCUAUUUGUAGCCUAGGUGGUACCAUGGUUCCCAAAUGGUGUAUGCUUUCCAAACGAGAAAAGCUUUCAUCAGAAAUAUGAUGCAUUUUCGUGAUCUGAUACGUUCAUUUACAGGUUUGUCCAUAAAUAUUUUUGCAGCUACACAGAGGGGAAAAUGAAUAUGGUCUUACAUACUUCACUUCUUCACGGAUGUUUGUAUGCUACCUUCCCUUCUGGGCUGUCUUAUUUAUUGUCUGUGCUGUGUGUUUGCUUGCAAAUCUGAAUCUUUCUCUACAGAUGCAGAGACUCUUAACUCCUUUCUCAUGGAGCAAACCAUCCAUCAGCACAUUUUGCCUUGAGGUCUGCAGAAUGUCAGGUUUGGGUCAGUUAGCAUUGUCUUCAGUGCCUAAAUCUUUGAAAACAAGUUCAUACUGUCAAUUUCUUGAAACAAUUCUGCAAUUGGUAGAUAUUCAUGUAGAUUAUACUCUCAUUAUCAUUAGACUGUUUAACCCAACAUUCUUAACCUUUCUUGUUAGGAUGGCUGAAACUAAGGACUGGUCCUCAGAUGAAGCAGUGGGUGAGGUUGGCUGAUCUUCGUGCUCUAGAAUGAUACAUCUUCUUAUUAGGAAAAGGUUUUGGGUGCUGUUCUUGUUUGGGUGUCUGGCUGCUGAGAAAGAUGCUUUGAAUGUACAGUCGUUUGUAAACAUGGAGUGGCAGAUGCAUUCAGUUAAAAUGUAAUUCCAGGCUUGUGGCUUACCCUUGAAAUGCUUUCUUCCAUCUAGCAGCACUACUGAGCUCUCAGUCUGAAGUUGAGCCAGCUGUCUGUCUUCCAGAUCCUUUCAAGCAAGUCUACGUUUGGUAUGGUUUUGCUUGUACCUGAUUCUGGUGAAUAACAGUAAAAGCUGGGGAAUGUGUGAAGAGGAUCUGAUGUUGCACUCUGAAGGCAGAACUAUGAAGAGAGAGUUUCAAGUAUCCAGCUUUUUUCACAGUGCUGUGACUAACUCUCCAUUUUAAAAAGCUUAUCUGGAUGUUGCCAAGGACACUUCUACUUCCUGGAUUGCUUUGCCUUUGGUGGAACAGGACGGAGUAGCUACGCUGCAUCAUUCAGGCAGAACAUGGUAUAGCUAAAAGCCAGUAUUGGUAGUUCUGCUCUUCCAAACGUUAAAAUGUAGAAAGGUGCUACAUUUUACAGAAAUAAAGGGGUAAAUGAAUUGGGGGGAAAAAAAAGAAAAACUUUCAUGCAUAAUUACAUAGAAAUUCUAUGUGUAAAAAGAAGCAUGAAUUGACCAUUCUAUUGACCUCCAGUAGAAUUUUCUGUUAGCUAAGAUCUAUGUAUUAAAGCCAAAGCCCAUCCCAGAUUCAUCCAUCAGUCCUGCUUGCGGAGUUUUACUGUAAUGAUUCAUUCAGGAUUUCAACUUUUGGAGAUGACUACUUAGUACUUUUGGCUUAGAUUUUUACUGCUUGUAAAGCUUGGUGUAUAGGCUUAUCAUUUCAGAAAUAACAUGAACUAGGUUAUGAGAUCAUUGUGAAAGAUUCUUCAUUAACUGUCAUACAACGCUCAUGGAACUAUAUUAUUUCAGGGGAUUUUUUCCUCAUUUCUCCCAGGAGAAAUUUUCAAGCUGGUGGGUUCUGAUAUAAAAUAUAUACAAUACUCAUUUUGUGCUCAAAGUUUCUUGAUAUAAAGAUCACUAGAUUAGAUUGCACAUACUUUUAGGGGGAAAAUAUUUUAGUUUGGAAACUGUAUUAAAGUGAAUGUAUCUCAAAAAUUAAAUCAUAGUAUGUGUGUGAUUAGAUAUGUAAUCUAAGUAUAUUUCAAAAUAUUAUACCAGACAUGUUACCUAACUCAAUCUACAUGCAUUGCUUUGGCAAGUUCAGAGUUUGCCUAAUAGGCUGAAGUCAAGAGAUAAGAAUAGCUUGUUCAGCAUGUCCAGACAAUGUAGUUAUGAAGGAAAGAAAGGAAGAAAAGAAGAAAACUUAGAGCAGUGGAAAUAUUUCAGGUAAAGGGACAGGAACCUAGAGUGUGAGAAGUGAAGCUGAACAUGUGAAUAUAACAAGAAGUGAUAGAACAGUACUGGUUCUUUUUAUUGUUCUAAUAAAGAUGAUUCAGGUCUGCUUUUAUUUCUCUCAGAAUCUGUGGCAAGUCUCUGUUUUCAUUUAUAGGAUAUGAGAGUAGAGCUUCUAGAGUACCCAUCUGGCCUGUCAAUGUUUAUUCUUUUUCACUGUGGUGAGGCUAUUGACGUUUUCUGGGCUUUUGCUCUGGAAAACUGAGUAGUCCAUGAUGAACGUGUGCCACUGCUAUUGCUAGGGAAAGACGUUAAGAUCCUUUGGUAGGAAGACAGGUGAUUUUCUGUCUGGCAUGGAGUUGUCAUUUCACUCACUGGUCAAAACUCUAAGGUAAGUACAGCCUUUCAGAGCUCUUGUUAAAUGCACUGCAUUAAUUCACAGUGUCUCCCUUAGCUUCUCAUAAUGUUAUCUUGCUCUUAAUCAAAGCUUCUGUUAAAGCUCAUCUCUUCCUAUGUUCCCUUGCACAGUUGAAUGUAGAUCUUUCUUUCAUAAUCUUCACUGUUUGCAGUUUAAUCUGCAUUAAUAUUUGACUUUAUUGCACAGUAAUAUUCACACACAAUGAGGGCAUUUAUGAUCCUGCAAAAGCACCAUCUUAAAUACAAGACAUGGGAAUUUUUUUUUGGAGGCCCACCCCUAGCCUUGCAAGACUUGCGGCACCAGCUCCUUCACAGUGUGAUUCACGGACAUGAAGUUAGGAACCUGUUGCUAACAAAUGCCAGUCUUCUGCAUUGCACCAAUAGUUCAGCAAAGGGAUUCAGGACCAAAAGUUAGCUUUCGGGAAUAAUAUGUCCUUAAUUUGGGCUUUAUUGCACUUUAUCUACAAUAUCUACGUGGGGAGUCUGGGUGAAAACUGACCGAUCUGUUUAACUUUACCAUGUUAGUGGCUAACCUUUUACAGUUUUAGAGCUGUUUGCAGAAUAUGACCCUCCUGCAGUGCACAAACCCUCUAAAGUCCUUUGUCAGCUAAACUGCAGUUGUCAGACAUGAGGGUUAUGGGAACGCUACAGACUAACUUUGUAGGAUUUGCUCCUGUCUUUGUCAUUAGUCAAACUUCUAACACUGGUUAAAAUGUACAUUUUGUAACUUAAUAAUUCUAAACUGGAAAAUUAGACCACAAAACUGGACACUGAAUAAAUUUACUCCUUUGAAUAUGGUCUCUGCACCUUAACAAAACACAUCACAGUGAGUUAAUAAUUACUAUUUUUAUACUGUGUUAUUUUAUGGAAAGUAUCUCUCACCAGCAGGAAAGUACAAGGACUUCUAGGAUUCACUGGGGUAUAAUGAAAGUUGCCAAAAAUGUAAACUAAUACAGAUUUUCUUAUGAACCAUGAAAAUAUUAUGUUUAAACUAAAACUGUAACCUUUAGCCUUUGUAUGAGAACAGCAAAAAUAUGAACAGGGAUUUUAAAAAAAUGUGUGUACGUAGACAUCUGAGGUCUCAGGCCUUAUUUUUUUAUUAAAUAAAUAGGGUCCGAGACCUCAGAUGGCUAGAAAAUACCAGCCAACUAAACUAACAUGAGAAGAUCAAUGGAUGAUCUGUAAGUGGAAAAAUUCUAUUCUGAUUAAAUCUACACAAAGGAUCCCUCUUUUUCCUUCCCAAAUGCUUUAGUGUACAUUUAAUUGCAGCAAGAUACCUUUUCACCUCCAUUAGGACAUUUUUUUUUUCUGGGAUUUUUCCAUUCUGCUUUUACUUCCUCCACUCAGGAAGUCAACAGACUGUAGCCAACAUACCAGCAGUACUCUUAGGACAGCAGUGACCUACCCAGCAUUCAGCAUCCAGCAACAAAGUCAAGACAAAAGAAAUAGUCACCUUGAGAGUCAAAAAUAGUAAGCUCCCAGGAUUCUGUUAGAAUACCAGAGUAUUGAAAGAGGCCAGGAUAUCAUUUCAGCUUUCUAGACCAGCUGUGGGGGUGUACAGUCAAGCCAGAAAGCUUAUGAAGAACAAAGGCAGUAAAACCAAACAUAGACAGUUCUUUGAAUCUGUGAUCUUUCCUUGCUUGAUAAAGUUCAGUUGUAGAAUUGAGCUGAAACUGUUUACUGAGCUAAUUUAUACUAACAGUUAAUUUUGACAACAACACGAGCCAUUUUUUCUCAUUUUGAAUUUUAACCAAAAGAAGCCCUAUUUUGAGGAUUGGGCACAAAAAUCCAGAAAUCUUUGAAUGUCUUAAAAACGGGAUGCUGUGACUUUUCUAUUUUGAAACUCGUUUCCCAUUCAGAGCAGAGCAAAUCUUUUUCUUUCUUUUCUUUUUCUUUUUUAACUAAAGGGAAUAAAAGGGUUAAAUAACCUGAAAGAAGAAAAGGAUCAAAUGAAUGUUCGGCCUGACCCCAGGCAUUUCUUCAAGGUUUUGUUUCAAUAACCCAACUAAAAUAUCCCUUGUUAACAUGAUUCUAAGUACAAGGUACCUUAACAACAAUUCCCGGGAGAUGUCGUAACACCUUUGUCAAAUUCAGUUUAAUGUCAGAGUGGCUGAGAACAUGUUCAUUCUAUGAAAAAAGGUACUUUAACAUUUCCAUCCUAAUUUUGGAAGAAAACAAAUGUUGAAGUAUUAGAAUUUCCCCCAGGAUGAAAAUUCUAAUAUUUUGCUCAGCUCUGGUUUCCAAUAACUCUUACACUUUAAUUUUGUGAUAUUUAACUUAAUGUUUCCCAUGUGAGUAUUAUAGCACUAGUGGGUAAAACUUUAGUCACCUCACAGAUUAGGCAUGCAAAGGAAAACAGUUCAUAUAUGUACAGGGACAGAUUUCUGCCUUCACAAGUGCCUUCCUCUUGUUUCCCCUGCUGAUGAGAUGUCAGUUUAUUACAGACUUGAUGAAUGGAGUUUCCUUUCUCAGGAAACAG